UUAACAAAAAUAUUUUUGCAUAGGGACAGAUGUUACAUAUCCGAUACAUAAGUACAUAUAUAAAGCGAGAUGUUACACUGCUACUAUGUGAAUACAAAUAUAUCCAUUUCACAUAAAGAUGAAGAUAUUAUCCACGGAUGUGAAAGUAACAUCCUCGGAAAUG
Haliotis rubra (blacklip abalone) is the source of this 163-nucleotide long non-coding RNA. RefSeq lists it as uncharacterized. Lineage: Eukaryota; Metazoa; Mollusca; Gastropoda; Lepetellida; Haliotidae. The transcript has 3 exons. The record is from RefSeq and is a predicted model, not a curated record.